GGAGCAAAAUAAACAGCAUGAGAACCAAGGACACCUCUAGAAGAAGAAGGAACGGCUCACGGCUCUCAUUGCACAAGCGCCAGCGUGAACGGUUGAAGAGUGUUUGUAGAGGGCUCUGUUGACAUGUAAAGGCGGAUGGGAAAGUUGUAGGGGUGGAUGGGAAUGCUAAAAGAAAAGAAAAAGAAAAAGAAAAAAAAGAAAAGGAAACUUGUGAAGGAUGAAACCUUACACUCAGAAGACAUCAGAAGCUCCUUGUGUGGGCUGUAGCUUCUCUGCUCCUCCUCUCCUGUGGGUUUCAUGCUCCAGCAGGGACCGUGCAGGGAUACACAGCAGCAGCACUGCAGCCAGGAGGUGUGUGCAUCAGCAGCAACGCGGGCAGUCCAAAGCCCUAGCACCGCUAGUUGCAGGCCGCCAGCCAGACUCAGCACCACUGAUGACAGCCAGCUGAGCUUGCUGAAGACGAGGUACGCAACCUCCACUGCUCUCUGCCCAUCUGCCCAGCCACUGGUGACAUCCGAGAAAGCUACCAGCUUGGCUCAGCAUGAUCUCCCCUGGGAGAACCCAAGAGCAAACCUAGAUCCAAAAUCUCUGAUGAGCACCACGAGAACUCGUUUCGAAUUGCA
Long non-coding RNA from Gallus gallus (chicken), 623 nucleotides. The record is from Ensembl. Lineage: Eukaryota; Metazoa; Chordata; Aves; Galliformes; Phasianidae.